GACGAACGCUGGCGGCGCGCCUAACACAUGCAAGUCGAACGAGCGAGAGAGAGCUUGCUUUCUUGAGCGAGUGGCGAACGGGUGAGUAACGCGUGAGGAACCUGCCUCAAAGAGGGGGACAACAGUUGGAAACGACUGCUAAUACCGCAUAAGCCCACGACCCGGCAUCGGGUUGAGGGAAAAGGAGCAAUCCGCUUUGAGAUGGCCUCGCGUCCGAUUAGCUAGUUGGGGAGGUAACGGCCCACCAAGGCGACGAUCGGUAGCCGGACUGGGAGGUUGAACGGCCACAUGGGGAGUGAGACAGGGCCAAGACUCGAGGGGGAGGAAGCGGGGGGGAAUAUGACAAAAGGGGGGAAAACCUGAUGCGGCAGCGCGGGGGGAAGGAAGAAGGUGUUGGUAUUAUAAACCCAUGUUGUGGAGAAAGAUAAGGAGGUUACUCAAAAGGGAGGUGGGGACAACGUAGGUC
This 466-nucleotide ribosomal RNA is filed under the name uncultured bacterium. RNAcentral describes it as "partial 16S ribosomal RNA". It matches the Rfam family "Bacterial small subunit ribosomal RNA", at positions 28 to 508 of the family's 1533-position model. The record is from RNAcentral.